CAUAAUUUUUAAAAUCAUUUUUGCAUUUAAUUCUUAUUUUCCUUUAUUUUUUAUUUAAAUUUAAUUUUCUAUUUUACUUUUCAUCAUUUUUAAAUAUUUUUGCAUCCAACUUUUGAGGUCUUUUUAUUUAUAAUAUUUCUAACUUCUCAUAAUUUUCUCAACAAUUUAUUUUAUGUUUUGGUGCUUGAUUUAAAUUUUCUCUUUAUUUUUUUUUAUUAAGAAUCACUUUAGUUUUCCUUUUAAUCCACUUUUGUUUGAUUUUUUGGUUGGCUUUUGUUUGACUUGAGUUGUUGACUUGGUUGAUUAAUACUUCUGCAUUUUAAG
This 324-nucleotide long non-coding RNA is filed under the name Lathyrus oleraceus (garden pea). Its description in RNAcentral is "Pisum sativum (pea) long non-coding RNA (PSAT_LNC028440)". The record is from RNAcentral. Lineage: Eukaryota; Viridiplantae; Streptophyta; Magnoliopsida; Fabales; Fabaceae.